Molecule: ribosomal RNA, 253 nt
Filed under: uncultured bacterium
Lineage: Bacteria
Description: partial 16S ribosomal RNA
Rfam family: Bacterial small subunit ribosomal RNA
Source: RNAcentral
UACGUAGGGGGCAAGCGUUGUCCGGAAUUAUUGGGCGUAAAGGGCGCGUAGGCGGACCCCCAAGUCCGGGGUGAAAUCCUCCGGCUUAACCGGAGAAUUGCCUGGGAUACUGGGGGUCUUGAGGGAGGUAGGGGCACGCGGAACUUCCGGUGGAGCGGUGAAAUGCGUUGAUAUCGGAAGGAACGCCGGUGGCGAAAGCGGCGUGCUGGCCCUCUUCUGACGCUGAGGCGCGAAAGCCAGGGGAGCGAACGGG